RNAcentral lists this ribosomal RNA (497 nucleotides) under uncultured bacterium. RNAcentral's name for it is "partial 16S ribosomal RNA". It matches the Rfam family "Bacterial small subunit ribosomal RNA", at positions 28 to 507 of the family's 1533-position model. The record is from RNAcentral.
GAUGAACGCUGGCGGCGUGCCUAAUACAUGCAAGUCGAGCGAACAGACGAGGAGCUUGCUCCUCUGACGUUAGCGGAGGACGGGUGAGUAACACGUGGAUAACCUACCUAUAAGACUGGGAUAACUUCGGGAAAGCGGAGCUAAUAGCGGAUAAUAUAUUGAACCGCAUGGUUCAAUAGUGAAAGACGGUUUUGCUGUCACUUAUAGAUGGAUCCGCGCCGCAUGAGCUAGUUGGUAAGGUAACGGCUUACCAAGGCAACGAUGCGUAGCCGACCUGAGAGAGGGAUCGGCCACACGGGAACUGAGACACGGUCCAGACUCCUACGGGAGGCAGCAGUAGGGAAUCUUCCGCAAUGGGCGAAAGCCUGACGGAGCAACGCCGCGUGAGUGAUGAAGGUCUUCGGAUCGUAAAACUCUGUUAUUAGGGAAGAACAAAUGUGUAAGUAACUAUGCACGUCUUGACGGUACCUAAUCAGAAAGCCACGGCUAACUACGUG